This 435-nucleotide ribosomal RNA is filed under the name Spurilla sargassicola. RNAcentral's name for it is "partial 16S ribosomal RNA". It matches the Rfam family "Bacterial large subunit ribosomal RNA", at positions 1829 to 2597 of the family's 2925-position model. The record is from RNAcentral. Lineage: Eukaryota; Metazoa; Mollusca; Gastropoda; Nudibranchia; Aeolidiidae.
AGCCAUUAGAUGAUACUAUAUGGUUUUACCUGCCCAAUGUUACGAUGAAUGGCCGCGGUACCCUGACCGUGCUAAGGUAGCGUAAUCAGUUGACCUUUAAAUGAGGUCAGGAAUGAAUGGAAUAACCGGGUUUAGCUGUCUCCAAAUCAUUAUAUUGAAUUUACUAUCUAAGUGAAAAAGCUUAGGACUUAAAAAAGGAGGAGAAGACCCUUAGAAUUUUUUUAAAAAGGAUUUUAAUUUCCUUACAGUUUUAUUGGGGCGAUAAAGAAAUAAUUAAAACUUUCUUUUUUAACAAGCCGAUUGUAUUAAGUAAGAAUAAAUUACCUGAGGGAUAACAGCAUAAUUCUACAAUUGAGUUUGUGACCUCGAUGUUGGACUAGGAAACCAGUAGGCUAGCCGUUUACUGUGUUAGGUUCUGUUCGAACUUUUAUUCCU